GCAAAACUUUCUUCUCUAAAAUUUAGUUUUGAGUUAUUAGAUAUACAAUUGUGCAUGACUGUCAAAGCCAUUGUGAUUAUUCUAAUGUUUAAUUCAAUAAAGACUUCAACUGAGCAGCUUCUAUUAGAAAUUUCUUCAUUGGGUAUUUUCAGACAGAUGUACUGAAAGCAUCACUUGCUGGAGAUGCCACCAUUGGAAGCAUGGCAAUAUCAACAUGCCUGGGAGUGGAUAUGUACUGCUACAUCAUGUGAUGGGUGAAACUGAUGGUGAUCGUAACGUUUGGUCACAUGUUGAAGGUGGAAUGGUGCAGUAAGCCUGGCCAUAAAUAGAGCUGCUAAGGAAGUUGGUGUUCAUCUCGAAACAAAUGCUGAGGU
This is a non-coding RNA of Jatropha curcas, 374 nucleotides long. The record is from RefSeq and is a predicted model, not a curated record. Lineage: Eukaryota; Viridiplantae; Streptophyta; Magnoliopsida; Malpighiales; Euphorbiaceae.